RNAcentral lists this long non-coding RNA (473 nucleotides) under Mytilus galloprovincialis (Mediterranean mussel). The record is from RNAcentral. Lineage: Eukaryota; Metazoa; Mollusca; Bivalvia; Mytilida; Mytilidae.
GUUUUGUGAUUUGAUUUUGCCAUGAUUAUGGACUUUCCGAUUUGAUUUUUCUCUGAGUUCAGUAUUUUUGUGAUUUUACUUUUUAUUAUUGACCCAUUUUAACACAUCCUCUUUUUUCGUCUAUGACAUGAGGGUUGCUGCAUAUGACUCAACUCGUUUGUUUUCUAUAUUGUGUUUUGUAUACUGUUUUUUGUCUUUUGUUUGUAUUUAAUUUUGCCAUGUCCUUGUCAUCGACUUAUUAGUUUGAAUAUUCCUUUUGUUUCUUUAUCCUCUUUUCUCAAAAAAGUAUGUAUAGGGGCCGAGUAGUCUAAGAAGUUACUUCUGUAAUCACAAGCUAGUCAACACCGAGGUUGUGAGUUCGAACUCCGCUCAUGUGGGUGCACUCAACUCCAAUCUUAAUUAACAUGGAUUGUCAGUUUUCCUAUCGAAGUUCGGUUGUUUUCUCCUGGCACAAUGGCCUCCACCCCCACCCC